RNAcentral lists this ribosomal RNA (118 nucleotides) under Musa acuminata subsp. malaccensis (wild Malaysian banana). The record is from RNAcentral. Lineage: Eukaryota; Viridiplantae; Streptophyta; Magnoliopsida; Zingiberales; Musaceae.
GGGUGUGACCAUACUAGCACUAUAGCACUCGAUCCAAUCAAAACUACGAAGUUAAGCAUGCUUGGGCAUGUGUAGUACUAGAAGGGGUCACCCAUGAAAAGUCCUCAUGUUUCUCCCC